Molecule: long non-coding RNA, 5215 nt
Filed under: Sorghum bicolor (sorghum)
Lineage: Eukaryota; Viridiplantae; Streptophyta; Magnoliopsida; Poales; Poaceae
Description: long non-coding RNA (SBIC_LNC018666)
Source: RNAcentral
UCCUACUUUGCUCAACUAAAAUAAAUCUGAAUCUUGAUGGAUUAGAUUUCAGAAAACACACAAUGUCUUUAGUGUAACAAAAAUACAACUAGCAGAUUAUGAUGGUGAUAUGAUGCUGCAGUAACACUGAUUGCAACGGGGAUGAGAAAAAUAGAAUGUGAAAGAAGAGUGGAGGAGAGGCAAAAGGAUGCGCAUGAAGUGGACAAGGAUGCAAUGUUCUAAAAUUAGAUGCCCAAGAGUGGAAUAAAUCUAGUGGUUGCAAUAGGAUGCUGAUUAAAAAUAGGAUGCUGAUUAUAGAAUGUGCAAGAGCACUUACAAUAGGAUGUAUGAAUGGAAGAAAGGAACAUGCAGGUGGCAGUGAGUAAGAAUAGGUUGCUCACGGGUGGAAGUGAAAACGUGCAUGCAAUGGCCUAAAAAUAUAGGGUGCGCAUGAGUGAAAAGAGAGUGGUGGAUGGAGUUUACACGGUGCCCAAGUAGGGUGGUGAUGGCAGUUUAGAUAUAUAGUGUAGUCCAAAUGUAUAUGAUAAUAGUGAUUGCAGCAGAGAUUAUACGAUGGGCAGUGACUAAAACGUGACAAGAACUCGAAACUCCAAAAGUCUAAACCCAAUACCAGCAAUUCGACUCGACCGAUGUAAAUCAAACACAACUUGCCUGAACUAAGUAGUACUAGUAUAAGGCUCAAUGGGUCAUAGGAUGUUGGGAAUGAAAACUAAAUUUUUUUUGGCUUUUCUGGACUAUAGGAAAAAAAAUUGCAAACUAAAAUCUCUCACCAAUCAAACCUUGCUCUGAUUACCACAUAAUAAGAACGACGGUGUCCCGAUCUUUCGGUGGAGAUGGAUAACUUCGAUCUCUCUGGAGCGACGUUCACGAUCCGACUAUAACCGUCCAAGGACGCUGCACCUUAGCGAUCGAUACACCAAUUCCAGCGGUUGAUCACGAUCUUGUUGAUCACAACCAACCAAACCACUAGGGUAAUUCCUGCACGCAAUCGAAGAACAUGCAAGAACAGAUAGAACAGGCACUCAAUUGCCAAAUAAUACAAGAAGGAUCUGAUAUGAAUCACGAUAACAAUAUGGGGUUUUGAAUCAAGUAGAACGGAUGGUCUAGUCGACACAUGCGUCUACAAGGAAGUAGCAAUGGCUAAACUUACAACAAAACAAAACCCGCCUUGUGUCUCUGGCUGUAGAAGCCUUUAUGUACAAGAGAGAGCAACCAGAGUGUGUGCUGCUAAUCCCUCGACUCACUAAAAACAAAAGAAAACAAUAAUAUCCAUAUCAUGCAUGGAGUUUCUUAUUGAAUGAAGCUGUCCACAGAAAGGUCUCUGGAGUAACUCGACGAUUGCGGCCGCCCCAUUAUAGAUAUGGACAUGGGACUGGAUCCAUGUGAAAAUAGACUUCAUAAGCUUUCCACCGUGUAUUUGAACAUCAAAAUCGGUCACCGUAUGUAGUCUUGGUGGCCACCACAAGUUGAGACCCUUUUGCAGUCCAAAUUUAGCCCAUCGCGAAUAUGCUUCCUUGCGGUUCCUCCUCAUUAUUCCUGUCCAAAACAAAGGUGCAUGGGUUUCCACGGUCUAAAUAAUACAACAAAUAACUUAGGAAUGAACUCACUAGAUAGUUGAGUUAUCAUGCAUAUGAAUCUGAGGCGUGGAUGUAUUGAUGGUGCUCAUGUCCUCAUCAUCCUCCCCUUCUUGCAUUUGAGUCGUCCUCGACUCAAGCUUGUCCUCUUCUAUUGAUGGUACUCAUGUCCUCAUUAGGUACACUGUUUGUGCCUAAUGCACCAUAGGCUAAGAAACUAUUUUGGACGCACGCGAUGGUACUCCUUGGUGAAGAGGCUCAUGUGGAAUCUUGGUUCUGUGUGUUUGGAGAUAGUUCUAAUCUUGAUGCAAGAUAGGUGCAUGGUUUGCAUGGAACAUACUAUAUGCUCAGAAAUCAAUUUGGACACACGCGAUGGAACUGUAGAUGCACCCGAUGGAACUACUAGAUGAAGUGUAUCAUAUGGAAUCUUGCUUUGGUCCAGUUGGAGUGUAUCAUCAUCCUCCCCUUCUUGCAUUUGAGUCGUCCUCGACUCAAGCUUGUCCUCUUCUCCCAAGUAGGGCAUAAUGGUCCCCAAUCAACUUCAUUCACCAUCCAUACUUUCAAUAUGCAAUCAAAUAUUCUCCUGAUCCAUGUAAGUAUUACGGAGCAGGUGAUGUCCUCAUCAUUCUCCCCUUCUUGACAGCAAACUGUCCUCGGUUUAAUCAUUGGUGGAGCAUGUGUUGUCAGAAUUGAUGAACCUUGCUCUCCUGCUUGAUACUUGCCCUGUUCCAUCAUAAGAAAACUAGGCAAACCCGCCAUGACAUGGUUAUGGUUAUUGCACACUUCUAGUUGGUCAUAUUGUUUCACAAUAAAAGGAGAUUUUAUGUUUGAAUAAAUGUAAAUUCGGUGUACCAUAUACUCCUUUGCAUAAUUAUAUUUGCCAAUUGCAUGAAAACUAACAUUGGAAGAGCAUGACAAUUCAAAUCUAGAAAACUGAUUAUUCUCUAAAUAGCUAAGCUCAAAAAGAUCAUCGAAUUCAAUGUACCCCAUUAUAUGUAAAGAUGACAACAAUUGAGCUUCUUCAUUUUCAUUUACAAUAUUAAUAACAUGCUUGAAUUCGACACUCAUUGAUUUAGAAUUCUUUUCUUUGUAUACUAGUUGUGGCAUGGAUAUAGGUGAUGCACUAUUGCACAACUCUUCUUUGUCACUAGGAACAUCAGGAAUAUCGAAGUUUGACAAAGGAAAAUUAGUAAUUGGUUCCAUAAUUGUUUUCUCUAAGUUAGCAGCAUUAGUGGACAAAUGCAGCUCAUCUAAUGCAAGGUCACCUUGAUUUAUGUUACCACCAUCUAAUUUACCUUUGAUGCUGUGUUGAAAUGGAGUGGGUGCAGCUAGAUUUACGCUCUCUUUAAAUGACUCAUCUAGUAUCUCAAGUUGCACGCUUUCCAUGUGUAUGUUGUCUUCUUGUUGCUGCAAAUUGUUAGUAAUAGGAGAGACACGUACUUCUAUAAUACUUGCGAGAUCCCUUUCUAACUCACAAGCAAGAUCAAACAAUUCAUCAAAGGUGUUAUAAUACUUAUCAACAAGAAUGUUCUGAAUUUCUACAUUAAGACCUUGCAGAAAUCUAUGUUCCAAAAGUUCAUCAGUUUCUUCUAAUCCACAUCGCAGCACACACAAUUUUAGUUUAUCCAAUUAUUCCGCUACGGUUUUGUUUUCUUGGUUUAUAGAUUGUAGUUUUUCAAACAAAAUUUCAGAAUAGUACUCAUGGACUAAAACAUCUCUAAAAUGUCUUUUCACAUCUUUCCAUGUUUGAGGAGCUUUAUGAAAUCUACAAAGGUAUUUCCAUGAACUUAAAGCAUACUCAGUAAGAACACUGGAAGCAACUCUAAUCUUUUGGCUUUCAGAUAGAUUAUGCUUUUUAAAUUCAUUGUCUACAUUUAGCUCCCAUUUAAUAUAUGCAUGUGGAUCACAAUUUCCUUCAAAAUAAGGUAAUGCAGAUUUUAUUUCAUCUAGCAAAACAUCACAUACCUCAUGAGUGCCAUACUUAUCACUUGCCACACCUUUAGCAAAGUGAUGUGAACAUGCAAUCUGAUUAUCGCUUGUUUCUAUGUGGAUUCCUGCCAUGAUUAGAACAAAACAAGAGACAUACGCAAUAAUCUUUAUGCUCCUAUCAACUACAAGGAUGUGGUUGUUGUAAUUAUUUCACUCUCACCCUAUGCAAACAAGUUCUCACAAGUUCUUGCCAAGCGAAACAGGAGGUGGCAGGAACCAACAAGUCAGAAAACCUAGAAAAUGGUGUAUCAACGCUGCAGCAACAACACUUGUCAAGUUGUAGUCUGAUAUGUGGAGUUAUAGGAUGGCUCUAUAUAUUGCACAAGGAAGUACUAGCACCACAAUAGUCACAAAAGCAUGUUGAGAAAUCAUUCAACGGUGGCACUGUGCUGGUCCUAGGCUAGACCGUGCUAGAGACGCGAGCCUGGACACAGAUGAAGUCACAAUAUCACAAGAAUAAUAAGAACAACAAGAGAUAACUUCCCUUCUUUUCCUCUUCCUUUCUUUUCUUUCCUUUUUUUCCUUUUUAUUUUCUUUUUUUCUGAUAUUUUUUGUUUCUUUCUGUUUUUUCCUACUUUGCUCAACUCAAAUAAAUCUGAAUCUUGAUGGAUUAGAUUUCAGAAAACACACAAUGUCUUUAGUGUAACAAAAAUACAACUAGCAGAUUAUGAUGGUGAUAUGAUGCUGCAGUAACACUGAUUGCAACGGGGAUGAGAAAAAUAGAAUGUGAAAGAAGAGUGGAGGAGAGGCAAAAGGAUGCGCAUGAAGUGGACAAGGAUGCAAUGUUCUAAAAUUAGAUGCCCAAGAGUGGAAUAAAUCUAGUGGUUGCAAUAGGAUGCUGAUUAAAAAUAGGAUGCUGAUUAUAGAAUGUGCAAGAGCACUUACAAUAGGAUGUAUGAAUGGAAGAAAGGAACAUGCAGGUGGCAGUGAGUAAGAAUAGGUUGCUCACGGGUGGAAGUGAAAACGUGCAUGCAAUGGCCUAAAAAUAUAGGGUGCGCAUGAGUGAAAAGAGAGUGGUGGAUGGAGUUUACACGGUGCCCAAGUAGGGUGGUGAUGGCAGUUUAGAUAUAUAGUGUAGUCCAAAUGUAUAUGAUAAUAGUGAUUGCAGCAGAGAUUAUACGAUGGGCAGUGACUAAAACGUGACAAGAACUCGAAACUCCAAAAGUCUAAACCCAAUACCAGCAAUUCGACUCGACCGAUGUAAAUCAAACACAACUUGCCUGAACUAAGUAGUACUAGUAUAAGGCUCAAUGGGUCAUAGGAUGUUGGGAAUGAAAACUAAAUUUUUUUUGGCUUUUCUGGACUAUAGGAAAAAAAAUUACAAACUAAAAUCUCUCACCAAUCAAACCUUGCUCUGAUUACCACAUAAUAAGAACGACGGUGUCCCGAUCUUUCGGUGGAGAUGGAUAACUUCGAUCUCUCUGGAGCGACGUUCACGAUCCGACUACAACCGUCCAAGGACGCUGCACCUUAGCGAUCGAUACACCAAUUCCAGCGGUUGAUCACGAUCUUGUUGAUCACAACCAACCAAACCACUAGGGUAAUUCCUGCACGCAAUCGAAGAACAUGCAAGAACAGAUAGAACAGGCACUCAAUUGCCAAAUAAUACAAGAAGGAUCUGAUAUGAAUCACGAUAACAAUAUGGGGUUUUG